UUGCUAAGGACCGCGGGGCAAAGUUUUAUAAUUUUUAGAGCUUGUUUGGGCAGUUUUUGCAAAAAUGAUCAAUAAUAAGGACUAAAUUGAAAUUUUGCGUAUUGUGAUGGAUGACUGAUUUGAUGGGCCCAGGAGGGGCUGUGUGAUAUGAUUGAACUGUUGAUAUAUGGAUUGUGAGUAUAGAAGUGUGUUUUGAACCCUUUUGCAGGUUGGGUAGGUCCUAGGUAUAGGGGAGACUCUGCCGGAUUUUCGGCACGACUUAGGACGUAAUUGGUCUUUUUCUUUGUUUGUAUUGAGUCAGAUUGUAUUAAAUAAAUGUAAUAUGAUUGUCAGGUGAGCCGGGACAGCCUUCUUCCUCCGCCCAGCCGCCACAGUAAUUUGUCGUCAAGUCUGCCACAGGAGGAUAUUUAUUCUGGGUUAACCUGCUUUUAUACUUCGCAGGUUGUUUAUCGAUAUUUGUGUAAUUUUAUUUACUCCUAGAAUUUCCGCAUGUGUUAGCAGUAAUUAUUUGAAUUUGGUCUGUAAUAUUAUAUUCAUGUUGGACCUGUAAACUUAAUAUUUUAAGUCUGUUUUGAUGGAUUGGAUGAGGGAGCUGAGCUCCCAUUUAUUAUUA
This is a long non-coding RNA of Hevea brasiliensis (rubber tree), 613 nucleotides long. RefSeq lists it as uncharacterized. The record is from RefSeq and is a predicted model, not a curated record. The transcript has 2 exons. Lineage: Eukaryota; Viridiplantae; Streptophyta; Magnoliopsida; Malpighiales; Euphorbiaceae.